AUACGUAGGGGUCGAGCGUUGUCCGGAAUGACUGGGCGUAAAGGGCGUGUAGGCGGCCGAUUAAGUCUGGAGUGAAAGUCCCGCUUUCAAGGUGGGAAUUGCUUUGGAGACUGGUUGGCUUGAGUGCGGAAGAGGUAAGUGGAAUUCCCAGUGUAGCGGUGAAAUGCGUAGAGAUUGGGAGGAACACCAGUGGCGAAGGCGACUAGCGAAGGCGUAACUGGCGCUGAGGCGCUAGAGCGUUGGGAGCGAACAGGAUUAGAUUGCCUGGUAGGCCACGCGGUAAACGAGGAAUGCUAGGUGUUGCGGGUAUCGACCCCUGGAGUGCCGGAGUGAACACAAUAAGCAUUACGCCGGGUGACUACGGUCGCAAGGCUGAAACUCAAAUGAAUUUACGGGG
Molecule: ribosomal RNA, 397 nt
Filed under: uncultured bacterium
Lineage: Bacteria
Description: partial 16S ribosomal RNA
Rfam family: Bacterial small subunit ribosomal RNA
Source: RNAcentral